Nannospalax galili (Upper Galilee mountains blind mole rat) is the source of this 983-nucleotide long non-coding RNA. RefSeq lists it as uncharacterized. The transcript is spliced from 2 exons. The record is from RefSeq and is a predicted model, not a curated record. NCBI's taxonomy places the organism in Eukaryota, Metazoa, Chordata, Mammalia, Rodentia, Spalacidae.
UGUCUUUAGCUGGUGUCCUGGUCUUGUUGUCUACAGAAUGUUUCCUGGUGCUGUUGUCUAUAGGAGGUGUCCUGGUCCUGUUGUCUGCAGGAGGUGUCUUGGUCCUGUUUUCUGCAGGAAUUAUCCUGGACCUGUUUUCUACUGGAGGUGUCCUGUUCCUGUUGCCUGCAGGACGUGUCCUGGACCUGUUGUUUGUAGGAGGUGUCCUGGUCCUGAUGUCUACAAGGGUUCUACUGGCUGGCUUCCGUCUCCCAUUGUCUCCUAUGAGGCCCUGGAUAGUUCAAGACAGAUCCAUACAGUAAGCAAUCAGAAAUCUUGAAGCAGGUCCAGUACGUGGCACAAGUUUAUUUCUUUCUCCUGGCUCACUGUUAUCAGACAGCUUAGAAAUACCCAGGACUGGAUUGGAUGGCAUGUGCUGCUGUAGUGGAUGCCUGUUCCCUAGGUGCUCGAUGACAUUAGUGUGAAAUGAUAUGGACAGUGAGCAUACAGAGCAUGAAUGGGGGAAGUGGACUCAGGAUGUUUACUUUUUGGAAGCGACAUCAAAGGUAGUGACGCAACUGAUGUUUGGUUUUUGACAUGGUGAAAAAUAGCUUGCCCACCCAACUCCCAGUGGUCUUAGAAAAUGGGAACUAAUGGUUUGGAGAGAGGUCAAAGUUCAAGGUGGAGACUUGAAAGCCAUUAGUAGAGGUCAUAGUUGAGGCCAGGAUCAGAUUAUUCAGGGGGACUCUAGAGGGAGGUGAAAACGGUGCUGGAGGAAAUCUCUGGAACUCUAGCACCUCAGGGCUCAAGGCAGGAGGAGGAAGCCAAGGGGAAAAACAGCAAUGGCGGGUAAAGGAGAGGAGAGAGCUAUCCUCCUUCAGGCCCCAAGGAGGUAUGGGUACAGUCGUCCAGUGGUUGCAAUUCACAGGACUGUGGAUGCGCAUCUCGGGUGGUUCAAAAUCUUGUUCGUUAUGACUAGAGUACCAAUAAACAUGGAUAUGCAA